CAGAACGACCUCCAUCUGCUUUCAAAAUUCACCAUCUAAAACGUCAUUUUCUCCAGACGGAGAAGCUGAAAAUUUCAGCAUCUAAAAAGGUUGAAGUGCUUUUGGUUGAUAAAUGACCAAAAUAACCUAUCUUCUCCCCCUUGGAAAAACGUUCUUUCCUCUGCUGUGAAAGUUCUAUACCCAUUUUUUUCACAUUUUCGCUGUGAAAGGUCCUUCCUGUUCUUUGUUCCUCUUCCGCAGUUGAGGUUUAGCUUUACGAUAAGAUACCAUGGCUGUGUUUCAUUUUGGUUGAAGUUAUCGUCGAUUGUAUUAUUCCUACUUACCAUCACUUAUAGCGGGAAAGCAGUUUCUGAUGUAGGGUAGAUUUGUAGAAGCCUUCCUGCUUAUAGAAUACAGCUUUUUAAGGUUUACAGUAGGAACUUAGGGACAGGGAUAGGAAUCCAAAGAGGGUCGGAUAUCGGAGGAAGAUUGCUAGAAUUUUCUGAAGCAUUGGAAUGACAAGGAAAUAAACUCAUGGUUUUACCCUUGUGCUGUCAAUCGUCCCCUGAAGCAUCAUAGUAGUAGUCGAGAGAAGAAAGUAGAAAUAUGACAAUGGAAUUUCCAUGAAUUUAUAGUAAACUCAAAGAUAGACUCAAUAGACCACUCUUUUUCUGUUCUUGGAAGCAAAGUUACAGAAUGACUGAGAGCAGUCCACAAAGCAGAGAGAGCAUAUCUGCAUUGUUGACUCAUAAUCAGAAAACCCUGCUCUGUAUUGAUAUAUUUAUUAUUAAUUCAUUGUUCUAUCAAAGAAUAUUCAUUCAUGCUAAAGAGAAGAGAAACAAAAGGCUGCCUGACGUUUUCAUACAUGUGUUCCAAUUUCUCCUUUUCUUUUGUUUCAAGUUCUGGACCUAAGUGUAAGUUCCUACAAGAGGACCAAGCAGAUCCUUCCACAGACCACUCAUAAUCUUAUGAGUUGAUCAAAAAUCGGUCAUGCUUACAAAAUGCAAUAUUCUAAUAUCUUAUAAUAUAAUUAAUGCAUACAUACACAUAUAUAUAUAGUAGAGUGCAAGUUUUUUUUCCCCUUAACUUCUUUAUGUUCAUUUUAUAGGGUGUUGCUGUUGCACUGCCUGUUUAUUUUGCUACACAGAGCAAGUGGCAGGCAUUCAAGUUGGCAACUCUUUCUGGUUUUGCGGAGCCGCUCGGCGUUGUAAUUGUUGCUUAUCUGUUCCUGAGCAGCAUAAGUCCCGAAAUUGGCUUGUUAGGAUCAGGUUUGUCGUACCAUCAAUCCCGAAGUACAUGAGCUUGUAACCUCUUUCCAUAUGAACAAAAAGAUGUUGUAAAUUCCUGAACCAAGAUGUUUUAUUUUAGUUGAUUUCUCUGAUAAUUUUAGCCAAACUAUGAGAUGUCUUAAAAGCAAAAAGGAUGAACAGCCCCAGUUUGCAAUGUACAUAAUUUGUUUCCUUGUAACAACAUGAACAUUGAAAAUGGGAAAAAAGAGAGGGGGUUACAAAUAAAUUUAUGGAUAUUGUACUUUUAUA
Gossypium raimondii (Peruvian cotton) is the source of this 1517-nucleotide long non-coding RNA. RefSeq lists it as uncharacterized. Lineage: Eukaryota; Viridiplantae; Streptophyta; Magnoliopsida; Malvales; Malvaceae. The transcript has 4 exons. The record is from RefSeq and is a predicted model, not a curated record.